AGCAGCGGGCGCAGGAGAU
Molecule: unclassified non-coding RNA, 19 nt
Filed under: Mus musculus (house mouse)
Lineage: Eukaryota; Metazoa; Chordata; Mammalia; Rodentia; Muridae
Description: oocyte_clustered_small_RNA11777
Source: RNAcentral